CCUACGGGAGGCAGCAGUGAGGAAUAUUGGUCAAUGGGCGCGAGCCUGAACCAGCCAAGUAGCGUGAAGGAUGAAUGCCCUACGGUUUGUAAACCUCUUUUAUAAAGGAAUAAAGUGAGGCACGUGUGCCGUUUUGUAUGUACUUUAUGAAUAAGGAUCGGCUAACUCCGUGCCAGCAGCCGCGGUAAUACGGAGGAUCCGAGCGUUAUCCGGAUUUAUUGGGUUUAAAGGGUGCGUAGAUGGGUUGUUAAGUCAGUGGUGAAAGUCUGCGGCUCAACCGUAAAAUUGCAAUUGAUACUGGCAGUCUUGAGUACAGUUGAGGCAGGCGGAAUUCGUGGUGUAGCGGUGAAAUGCUUAGAUAUCACGAAGAACCCCGAUUGCGAAGGCAGCUUACUAAGCUGUCACUGACAUUGAUGCUCGAAAGUGUGGGGAUCAAACAGGAUUAGAUACCCGUGUAGUC
RNAcentral lists this ribosomal RNA (460 nucleotides) under uncultured bacterium. RNAcentral's name for it is "partial 16S ribosomal RNA". It matches the Rfam family "Bacterial small subunit ribosomal RNA", at positions 338 to 795 of the family's 1533-position model. The record is from RNAcentral.